RNAcentral lists this non-coding RNA (25 nucleotides) under Cricetulus griseus (Chinese hamster). Lineage: Eukaryota; Metazoa; Chordata; Mammalia; Rodentia; Cricetidae. The record is from RNAcentral.
CUCCCGUGAGAGGGUCAUUGCGGUA